UACAGAGGUCUCAAGCGUUGUUCGGAUUCAUUGGGCGUAAAGGGUGCGUAGGCGGCGCGGUAAGUCGGGUGUGAAAUCUUGGAGCUUAACUCCGAAACUGCAUUCGAUACUGCCGUGCUUGAGGACUGGAGAGGAGACUGGAAUUUACGGUGUAGCAGUGAAAUGCGUAGAGAUCGUAAGGAAGACCAGUGGCGAAGGCGGGUCUCUGGACAGUUCCUGACACUGAGGCACGAAGGCCAGGGGAGCAAACGGG
RNAcentral lists this ribosomal RNA (253 nucleotides) under uncultured bacterium. RNAcentral describes it as "partial 16S ribosomal RNA". It matches the Rfam family "Bacterial small subunit ribosomal RNA", at positions 524 to 776 of the family's 1533-position model. The record is from RNAcentral.